This 231-nucleotide ribosomal RNA is filed under the name uncultured Staphylococcus sp. Its description in RNAcentral is "partial 16S ribosomal RNA". It matches the Rfam family "Bacterial small subunit ribosomal RNA", at positions 109 to 334 of the family's 1533-position model. Lineage: Bacteria; Bacillati; Bacillota; Bacilli; Caryophanales; Staphylococcaceae. The record is from RNAcentral.
AGUAACACGUGGAUAACCUACCUAUAAGACUGGGAUAACUUCGGGAAACCGGAGCUAAUACCGGAUAAUAUUUUGAACCGCAUGGUUCAAAAGUGAAAGACGGUCUUGCUGUCACUUAUAGAUGGAUCCGCGCUGCAUUGGCUAGUUGGUAAGGUAACGGCUUACCAAGGCAACGAUGCAUAGCCGACCUGAGAGGGUGAUCGGCCACACUGGAACUGAGACACGGUCCAG